AAUAUAUUUAUAUAUACAUAUUUUGGUCUUAGUCUGAAGGAAGACGUCUCCGAGGGAGACACACGGCGAGUUUCCGCAUGUUUCAUUAAUUUCUGCGCAUGUGCCUGGAAUCUCGCAUCUCUAGUUCUUUCAUAAAAUGGAAUUUCAACAUCAACUAAGUUUUUUGGGACAAAGGAAAUAUCAUUGCAGCAACUAAGCAGAUACACUGCUGCAGGAAACGCACACACGGUUAAAGAUUGACUUGGUCGGUUGAUGAAGGAGAAAGCAAAGAGUAAAGUAAAAAAAAUAUGUUUUCUGGAUUCUCCCAAACCAGAGAGGAUAUAUCUCGCCGUAAUUGACGAGCUUCACCGGAACCUGGCCGACGCAGACCAAGUCCCGGAUGAACUCGAAAAGUUUUCGAUUUUGCUCCUCUUUAUUGUUUCUUCGCAAAAUUUUCGGGAAAAGAAAGUGAAUUACUUGUUUCUUAGUUAGAGCCUUUGUUGGAUUCUGAUUUUGGGCCAAGAAUUGCAAUUAAGGUUGUGGAGAGCCUGCGAGGCGAUAUACUGGCAGGGAAGCUCAAAUGUGCGAGUGAAAUGAUUAUAUAUUAUUUAUAUUAAUCUAUUAUUUGCCUUAUUGGAAUUGGAAGUACUUUAUUAUUAUUAUUAUUAUUUAGGAAGUUUUGAAGAAAAGGGGGCUGGAUUAUUGAUUAAUCAAGGGAGCCAAGGCAGAGCUUUGUUCUUUAUUUUUUGUUACAUUUUAAUGGUUAGGAGCGGUAAUGUUUGUUGGUAUUAAUGGAGGUGGAAAUACAACAUCUAUCGAACUUUGCCAGAUAUCGAAGGCAGCAGGAGACACAUAUACAGCAGCUGCUAAGGAUCAACUUGAGAUAUGGGCUCUGAGGACUAGAAAUGCUAAACCACCAUCAGAUAUCCUCUUGAAGGCAGGGAAUAGAUAAGGUCUCUGGAUUCAUGGUCAGGGGAUGUUUCUUGCAAAAAUGGAGCUUUCAGUCACACAAGUCUUUGUAUCUGUGAGCAGUGCCACCACCUUGUUGGCACAGUUCAACAGUCAAGUCGUAUACAGCAGCACCUUUCUCCUCGAAUCCCAUUCCUUUUGGUGUGUGACUGAAUCAAUUACCUCUUUUCCCCUCCUUCUGGAGUACCAAGAGUUAAAUCCAGCGAACAAGUAUCUUUUCCAAAUGAAUCAUAUUUUAAAUCUAGAUUGAUCCAACCGUCUCCUUCAAAAAGGCAUACGGUAAAUAUGUUUCACGUGUUUAAUUAAUAUUGAGAGAGGAAGAUCAUAGCCGCAAAUCAGUGUUCUCCAGAACCUUUUAGUUAACAAGAAAACUUACAAGCUAAA
This is a long non-coding RNA of Mangifera indica (mango), 1332 nucleotides long. RefSeq lists it as uncharacterized. NCBI's taxonomy places the organism in Eukaryota, Viridiplantae, Streptophyta, Magnoliopsida, Sapindales, Anacardiaceae. The record is from RefSeq and is a predicted model, not a curated record. The transcript has 4 exons.